Molecule: long non-coding RNA, 347 nt
Filed under: Homo sapiens (human)
Lineage: Eukaryota; Metazoa; Chordata; Mammalia; Primates; Hominidae
Description: HSALNT0037501
Source: RNAcentral
UCUAAAAGUUCCACUCCUGCUUGGCUCCCGGGUUGCUCUCAACCCCGCAGGGCACUUCUCAAUCCCUGGUGGAAGGUGAAAAAUCGUGCCUCACAGAUUCUCUUCUCAGGAAAGACAAUCCUGAAAGCGAUUUUGUUCGGAUUUCUUAACCGCUAUUUGUCUGCUUCUGCUGUCUUCUUUUUAAGGACCUCGGGGGAUGCCAGAAGCUGAUGGACAGCAGGGACAGGGGCUGCCCAGGCGCCAAGCCCAUGACUCCAGAGGGCCUCAGGAUCGUAUCAAAGAGUUUCAAUCAUUCAGCUGCCCCCAGAGCUUUGGAAAAGUUGUGACAUAUUCAUGGCAUGCACAAA